UUGUGGUAAGACCUGCCAUAAAAAAAUUGUCUUGAAUAUGUUCGAGAACCGCAUAACUUGCUGAGCGCAGGAAAACCGCAGUACCAAACUCAAUCAGAUUUGAGCUGCAACUUACCUAUGUUGUCCUCAAGCGGUUCAUAAAGCAAGCAACCACUUUAUCAGCCUCAAGACAUCCUGCAGGAAGAUAUUAGAUGAGCAAAG
RNAcentral lists this long non-coding RNA (201 nucleotides) under Eucalyptus grandis. RNAcentral describes it as "long non-coding RNA (EGRA_LNC003530)". Lineage: Eukaryota; Viridiplantae; Streptophyta; Magnoliopsida; Myrtales; Myrtaceae. The record is from RNAcentral.